This 221-nucleotide unclassified non-coding RNA is filed under the name Hevea brasiliensis (rubber tree). Lineage: Eukaryota; Viridiplantae; Streptophyta; Magnoliopsida; Malpighiales; Euphorbiaceae. The record is from RNAcentral.
GUCAAACAUCGCCGUCAUUUAUCAUACGCCGUCGGAGGUAAGCUCAUUGUCGUACGCCUACCUUUUCAUUUUCAUCUGAUCCAACGACCCGUUUCUGACCCGCUUUGCAUCCAAACCCUAAUCUAGCCACUUAUACUGUUCAAUACCUGUUCUAAUCGAUUUGUUACCUGUAAUAAUAAAUUUUUCCCCGUUAAACUAUUACUAUCAUUUUUUCGGUCUUG